This is a long non-coding RNA of Macaca fascicularis (crab-eating macaque), 2053 nucleotides long. The record is from Ensembl. Lineage: Eukaryota; Metazoa; Chordata; Mammalia; Primates; Cercopithecidae.
CCCCGAUUGCUGCUCUUGCUUAAACUGCACCCUAAUUUUGUGUCACUUCUUGGACACCAUGCUUUUGCUCAGUCUUCCCUGAACAUCUGCAGUUCUAACCAUCCCCUCCUGCCUGCUCCAACCUAGGGGAGGCCCAGAUUCUUCAUCCUCUGCCCUCCCAGUCUGGCCAUUCUGAAAUAAUUGCAAGAUGGCAGAAGGAACAGAGAAGGAGGCACUGCACGGGUAACUGGAAGUAUGGCAGGAAGAGGAGAGCAAACAAGUGACAACAGGGACCACACCAAAAGCUGCAUAGAGGUAUUCCCAGGCAAAGGAGGCAGCGUAUUGAGUGCGAGGACAUUGUGAGGACAAGCACCUGAAUUGAAGCUGCCAACCAGCCCACCUCCCUGCCUCCCACCCUUCCUAAAGUUAUUCUCCAGUAAAUAGCCCUCCCAUGUGGACUGGCACCCAUUGAAGAGUGACUGAUUAUCAGAAACAAACCAGCAUGGGACCUCUACUUACAGAAAAGGAGAAAAGAAACUGAUCAAACACAAAUAUAAAGAACAACUUUCCAAAAACGACUAUCUCACCAAACAAGCAAAUUUCACUUUUCAUUGGGCAUCAUCAACUAAGUAGAAGGAAAUAUACGCUUUUGAAGAAAGAUUUGAAAAAAUAAACUUAAAAAGAAAGAAUAAGGAUGAGAAAGUAGAGCAAGAUAGUUAGUGGAUAGUGAGCAAGAAAAGUUCAGAAGAAAAGAAAGAAAGAAAGAAAGCCAUCAAACGUUCAAAACAGCAAAAUAUUAGAAUAGACACUAAUUGAAAAACAUAAAGACAUGGAGGACUGGCUUGAAACAAAAACAUACGAAUACAAAUAUUAUCAAAUUAUGAGAUAAAAGUAAUUAGAAGUAAAGUACUGGUGUGCCAGCAGAAGACAGACUAAAGAGAUCAAAUUUUGAAUUAGAGUUAGGAAAAAGUAAGAACAGGACAAUUAGAACAAAAAAAUCAAAAAUACCUGAAAAUAAAAUUACCAUGAAAUAAAUAACAGAAAUCUAGAAUUUAUACAGAUAAAAAUAGCAUAUUACAGCUCAGAAAAAAUAGUGAUACAGAAAAAACAGCUCUAAGAUAUAGCCCAAUGAAGUUCUCAGACUUCAAGUAUAAUAAAAGAAUUCAAUGAAAUUCAGCAUUUCUCAUCUCCCACGUACAAAAAUUCACCUAUGGGGAAAACUGAUGCUUCCUCCAUAUUCAGUAAUAGAAAAUAAUGAGUGACUCAGAUUUUCUUUCAAGUGUAAAGACAGCAUAUAGAAUUUUUUGAGUAUGCAAGAGAUCAGGAACAAAACGUCUAUGUGUCCUUUUGUAUAAACAAGGUAUAACUAAAUGGUGGUUCAAAACUGAUAUAAAAUAAUCAAUACAUAAAAUGAGCAGAAAAAUACAGAAAAGAUUUCAUUUUUAAUUUAUAUUAAGAAAUAUAUCUAGAAAUAAACUUAAAAAGAAAAUGUGCAAGACAUAUGAAAAAAACCUAUAGGAAAAAAUCUUUGCUGAAAAUCAAUAAAAACUUUAAAUAAAGAAAAAGAUAUAUUUUUAUAAGAUUCACUCCCUAUUUUAAGGAUCAUAAUGCUUCCUAAAUUAGUGUAUAACUACAAUUUUAUCACAAUCAAAAUACUAACAGGCAUUUUUUUAGAACUUGCAAGCUGAUCUUAACAUUCAAAAGAAAAACUUAUCAUGGGGAUAUAGCCAGAAAAUUUAUUUUUAAAAAAGCAGCACAAAAAAUGGGGAAAACGGUUCUAAAUUACUAAAAUGUCUCCAGUAAUUUGUAAAAUUUGAUGCUGUCACAAGUGUAGAUAAGCAGAUCAGUGGAACGGAAUAGAGUCUAGAAGCAGACACAAAGACACUCGUGAAGGAAGCCCAUUAAUGGAGUUGAGAUGACUGGCUAUGUAGAAAAUGUAACGCUGAAUUCCUCUUCCUACCUCAUUUCUUUCACCGAAAAUAAAUUACUGAUUGGUCAAAGAUUUAAAUUUCAAAAAUGAAACUAUGAAGUAACUCGGGGAGACGAUAAAAUAUUUAAAAUAUAAUCUGGCAGC